UGGGGAAUAUUGCACAAUGGGCGCAAGCCUUAUGCAGCAACGCCGCGUGAACGAUGAAGGUCUUCGGUUCGUAAAGUUCUUUUGCAGGGGUAGCUAAUGACGGUACCCUGUGAGGAAGCCCCGGCUAACUACGUGCCAGCAGCCGCGGUAAUACGUAGGGCGCAAGCGUUAUCCGGAAUUAUUGGGCGUAAAGAGCUUGUAGGCGGUUCGUCGCGUCUGGUGUGAAAGCCCAUCGCUUAACGGUGGGUUUGCGCCGGGUACGGGCGGGCUAGAGUGCAGUAGGGGAGACUGGAAUUCCCGGUGUAACGGUGGAAUGUGUAGAUAUCGGGAAGAACACCAAUGGCGAAGGAAGGUCUCUGGGCUGUUACUGACGCUGAGAAGCGAAAGCGUGGGGAGCGAACAGG
RNAcentral lists this ribosomal RNA (404 nucleotides) under Verrucomicrobiota bacterium. Its description in RNAcentral is "Verrucomicrobia bacterium partial 16S ribosomal RNA". It matches the Rfam family "Bacterial small subunit ribosomal RNA", at positions 355 to 776 of the family's 1533-position model. The record is from RNAcentral. Lineage: Bacteria; Pseudomonadati; Verrucomicrobiota.